CCUACGGGGGGCAGCAGUGAGGAAUAUUGGUCAAUGGACGAGAGUCUGAACCAACCAAGUAGCGUGAAGGAUGACUGCCCUAUGGGUUGUAAACUUCUUUUAUAUGGGAAUAAAACGUUCCACGUGUGGGAUUUUGUAUGUACCAUAUGAAUAAGGAUCGGCUAACUCCGUGCCAGCAGCCGCGGUAAUACGGAGGAUCCGAGCGUUAUCCGGAUUUAUUGGGUUUAAAGGGAGCGUAGGUGGAUUGUUAAGUCAGUUGUGAAAGUUUGCGGCUCAACCGUAAAAUUGCAGUUGAAACUGGCAGUCUUGAGUACAGUAGAGGUGGGCGGAAUGCGUGGUGUAGCGGUGAAAUGCUUAGAUAUCACGAAGAACUCCGAUUGCGAAGGCAGUUCACUGGACUGCAACUGACACUGAGGCUCGAAAGUGUGGGUAUCAAACAGGAUUAGAUACCCCGGUAGUC
Molecule: ribosomal RNA, 460 nt
Filed under: uncultured bacterium
Lineage: Bacteria
Description: partial 16S ribosomal RNA
Rfam family: Bacterial small subunit ribosomal RNA
Source: RNAcentral